UACGAGGGGGGCAAGCGUUGUUCGGAAUUAUUGGGCGUAAAGGGCGCGUAGGCGGUGCGGUAAGUCACCUGUGAAAACUCUGGGCUCAACUCAGAGCCUGCAGGCGAAACUGCCGUGCUUGAGUGUGGGAGAGGCGCGUGGAAUUGCAGGUGUAGCGGUGAAAUGCGUAGAUAUCUGCAGGAACACCCGUGGCGAAAGCGGCGCGCUGGACCACUACUGACGCUGAGGAACGAAAGCUAGGGGAGCAAACAGG
RNAcentral lists this ribosomal RNA (253 nucleotides) under uncultured bacterium. RNAcentral's name for it is "partial 16S ribosomal RNA". It matches the Rfam family "Bacterial small subunit ribosomal RNA", at positions 524 to 776 of the family's 1533-position model. The record is from RNAcentral.